RNAcentral lists this ribosomal RNA (497 nucleotides) under uncultured bacterium. Its description in RNAcentral is "partial 16S ribosomal RNA". It matches the Rfam family "Bacterial small subunit ribosomal RNA", at positions 28 to 507 of the family's 1533-position model. The record is from RNAcentral.
GAUGAACGCUGGCGGCGUGCCUAAUACAUGCAAGUCGAGCGAACGGACGAGAAGCUUGCUUCUCUGAUGUUAGCGGCGGACGGGUGAGUAACACGUGGAUAACCUACCUAUAAGACUGGGAUAACUUCGGGAAACCGGAGCUAAUACCGGAUAAUAUUUUGAACCGCAUGGUUCAAAAGUGAAAGACGGUCUUGCUGUCACUUAUAGAUGGAUCCGCGCUGCAUUAGCUAGUUGGUAAGGUAACGGCUUACCAAGGCAACGAUGCAUAGCCGACCUGAGAGGGGGGUCGGCCACACUGGAACUGAGACACGGUCCAGACUCCUACGGGAGGCAGCAGUAGGGAAUCUUCCGCAAUGGGCGAAAGCCUGACGGAGCAACGCCGCGUGAGUGAUGAAGGUCUUCGGAUCGUAAAGCUCUGUUAUUAGGGAAGAACAUAUGUGUAAGUAACUGUGCACAUCUUGACGGUACCUAAUCAGAAAGCCACGGCUAACUCCGUG